UCUUAGCUUUCGUUACGCAGAAGUAGGAACAUUCAAAAUUUAUAUAUUAUUUGGAAGGCUAAAAAUAAGUAGCAAAAGAGAUGGCUAGACUCCAAUCUUAUCUAACGGUGCAUACAAAAUUUCAGCUGCAUCAUACCCUGUGCACCAUACAUUCAACUUCUUUUUUUUAACUAUACAUUCAACUAUUUUGAAAUA
Molecule: long non-coding RNA, 195 nt
Organism: Juglans microcarpa x Juglans regia
Lineage: Eukaryota; Viridiplantae; Streptophyta; Magnoliopsida; Fagales; Juglandaceae
Exons: 2
Source: RefSeq, a predicted model, not a curated record